AUUAUAUUUCAGCGUUUUGCUCUUACAUGCGUUUUAUAUUUAAAGACAAUAUGGGUGAAUAAAGUGUAAUACAAUAGUUUUAAUAAUUUAGUGGAAAAGGCCAAAUUAUGAUCAAAGAUACACCCGUAAAUUUUUUUCUGGUAUGCCUUUAUAUACCGUAUCCAAGUCGACCACACUUUGUUUGGCCAUUACAUUGGUGCUUACUGGCUGACAUAUGCAACCAUACCUGGAUACCCGAAUGUGGGGAAGAGCCUGAUAAUCCGUCACCGUAUCAGAGAAGACUGUUCAUUGAUGAAUGUGAUAUGUACGAAUACAAUUGUGAUGAAAGAAGAGAUUUUGAACCCAUAAACUACUCGGAUUGCUUCAAUUUGCCUGCAUCUCAAUGUCCGCCGAUACCUGCCUGCCCCUCACAUCCACCAUGUCCAGACCAUAGGUUUCAUAGAGCGGGCGAUAGAUACAUUUCUGUGCCGUACAGAAGAUUUGGACUGCAAAGGACUACCAAAGAAAUGUCGCUACCAAAGAAUAUGUUAAGUGGCAAAAGAAGAUAUACCCCAAAAAGACGGAGACAUCUACACAAGCAUACAACUGCAACGACCAUUAAUAAACCAAAAACGAAAGUGACUUUGAGUACGGUAAUAUUAAAGAA
This is a long non-coding RNA of Leptidea sinapis, 646 nucleotides long. RefSeq lists it as uncharacterized. The transcript has 4 exons. The record is from RefSeq and is a predicted model, not a curated record. NCBI's taxonomy places the organism in Eukaryota, Metazoa, Arthropoda, Insecta, Lepidoptera, Pieridae.